UCUCCGUUGGUGAACCAGCGGAGGGAUCAUUACCGAGUUUACAACUCCCAAACCCAAUGUGAACGUUACCAAACUGUUGCCUCGGCGGGGUCACGCCCCGGGUGCGUCGCAGCCCCGGAACCAGGCGCCCGCCAGAGGAACCAACCAAACUCUUUCUGUAGUCCCCUCGCGGACGUUAUUUCUUACAGCUCUGAGCAAAAAUUCAAAAUGAAUCAAAACUUUCAACAACGGAUCUCUUGGUUCUG
Molecule: unclassified non-coding RNA, 245 nt
Filed under: plant metagenome
Description: partial contains small subunit ribosomal RNA, internal transcribed spacer 1, and 5.8S ribosomal RNA
Source: RNAcentral